Molecule: long non-coding RNA, 2669 nt
Organism: Lolium rigidum
Lineage: Eukaryota; Viridiplantae; Streptophyta; Magnoliopsida; Poales; Poaceae
Exons: 5
Source: RefSeq, a predicted model, not a curated record
UCCGGGGAGGCGGAGCGACGGCAUGAGCAAGGACACGUCGGCGCCGCCGCGUUUCUCCGUGCUUAAUGCCGCAGAAAGGUCGCCGGGGCUUCCGUUUCCUUGCCUAGCGGUAGUAAUGGACGACGGUUUCCGGUUUGGCCCCCGGCCCUUCUCCUCCUUACUUAUUUAGGAUCUGGGGCCAGCUGCAUCAGUUCGUGGGAGAGAUGUUGCUGCUGGAGAUUGGGCUACGGGAGAAUAGAAGAUAGGAUAAGGGAGAGCAUGGGCAGAUGGAGAAGGCCAUGGGGCGUACAUGGACCUGGAUCAGAGCCUCCGAAACUCUGGGCGGUGCUAUGAACCGCGCGACCAUGGCCCGUGCAGACCCUCGACCAGAUUGGGGAGAAGCACAAGGGCGCCUUCGCCCGGAUCGAUCUCCUCGAUUGCCAGAAGGCAGGUACGUGUAGAAAAAAGAUCAAAUUAGUCCGCUAUUUCGCGCAAAAGAAGAAUUGAUCCGUCAUUGGAGGUUCUUGCAGACUGGGUUGCAGUUGAUUGAUCAUUUCUUGUUUGUUCCUGUUCUUAAGUGGUAGACCAUGCGUUUGAACAAGUAUAAUGGCCAGUCCAUGUGGGGCAACACGGUUCAUACGCAGCGAGCCAUCCAACAUCGAUGAUUAGGCGAUGCUACAUAGUAAUAGAUUAAAUUUUCCCUAAAGCGCUCUAAAAAGUAUCCCUACACUGAGCAUGACCUUUUCCUCUUCUCUUGUUCUGGUGUAUCUUCCUUUUCUUGCUUCGUGCGAUGUGCAGAAUGUAGAGGCCACAACAACUGCAAUAAUGUGUGCCACCACCAAACUCUGUUAAGAAGUAAGAAAAUUAGCAACAUAAUUUUGUUAUGGUUGUACUUGUUGUCUUCGAGGAAGAAUGGCAAGCGGAAGAAGCUAGAUGCUACCGGGGAGAGAAAUACACACUCUUUGCAACAUCCCAACAGCUUAGCAAGAUAGAAGUUUUGAGUAUUUCCUGAGUGACAACAGUCAGCACACAGAAAUGGCAUCAGAAGCUAGACAAGCAAUCAGAGAAAUCGGGUGAAAACAAGAGAAAAGUUGCAUUUAUUCCCCUGAGCCUGAAGGUUAUGGUUUUCUUUCGUGAUUCGUCCGGUAUGAUUUCCUACUUUUAAUAGUUUUAGUACUGAAACUUGCUAUUUUAUUCCAGGAGAAUGUUAUAAUUGCAUCUGAUUUUGACAUGACCGUUUGAGGCAGUAAUAAAAUUGCUAAUGGCAAUGUCAUUAAAUGUGCACGAUGUUCUCUUCUAUGCUUUAUUAACUUUUUUUUUUACUGUCUGGACAUUACUACCUUUGAACAGUUUUGUGACACCUGCCUAGGUAUAUCCAAGAAGCUGAAGGCGUUGAUAGCUUUUCUUGAUUAGAUUGCCUUAUGUUUUUUCUUUACAGUUAAAUCAUACAUGUUCAUCUUAGUACUAUUCCUGAUGGGCAAUGUGUAGACGAUCUAAGCUAACUGCUUCCUUGCAAUCUUAUGGACAACUUAAUUACUAUUUCUUAUUUUAUGAGGCUCUGUGUGAACCUUAUACAAGUAUUGUUGUUUGGCAGGUGAAAUACUAGCUUGAUGAGCCAGGUCCGCCUACUUAUACUUGAUGUUGUUGUGCUUGCAAUAUAUUUUUCUUGCUUCGGUGCAUAAUAUGUUCAGAAAUACUUGGUUCAUUUCGAUCACCGCCUCUGUGUACGUUAUACAAGUGUUGUUGUUUGGCAUGUGAAAUACUAGCUUGAUGAGCCAGGUCCGCCUACUUAUACUUGAUAUUGUUAUGCCUGCAAUUUAUCUUCCUUGUUUUUGUGCAUAAUAUGUUCAGAAAUGCUUGGUUCAUUUCGAUCACCGCUUAAUAUCUGGCAGAAGAUUGAUAUUAACUGUGAUGGUUCUCUGUAUUUUCUCUCAAAUACUCAUGUCUUGUUUAUUAAGAUGGACGGGCACCGCAACACCACAUUCAUGUUCUAGAUCUUGUGUAUCAUCUGGCUUUACAAUUGAAACUCAUGAAUGGAGAAUUGUUUAUCUGCCAAGGGAGUGCAGACUGGACAACAUUGAUGGACUUCUACGCGGAUGCAUAGAACGAUGACGCGGAAGAAAAGGGCAUCGGCUUGCAGCAAAAUAGCAGAGAGGGAGUGACAUGCUCGUUUCUUUGGGAUUUUAUUCAGGGACUGCUCACAGAAACUAUGGCUGCUCGACAGAGACCCAGACAAAUACGUACCGGUGAGAGCCAGAGAGGAUGCAUCCCUGGAGAGUUGCGUGGGGAAGCAUAGCUACAAUUUGAGGCAACAUAUUAACCAGGAACAAGUAAGAUGAGUGAUGAGGGGAGGAUUAGCUAGAGGAUGAAGUUUAUGGGCAAUCUGAAGAGUGCCCUCAUGAGAUAAAUUUAUGGACUGUCUAAACUACAAUGCUCUCAGAAUUAAUUUUUUGUAUCGCUUCCCUUCUAUUAGAAAAAUAGGAAAACAACAUCGCUUCUGGAAACUGUGUAUAAACCUUAGUGUAACUUCCUAGCUAUGACUUCUCCGGUAAUGUUCUGAAAUAAUAUAGGCUAAUGUUAUGCAGUCAUGGUGCUGUUGGCACUAGAAUGAAGUGUGCGUUUUCUUUUGAAUAAACCGUACUGUUGUAUUUCCUUAAUGAUAUAACUUGAUGAUACAACUUCUUUUCAAA